RNAcentral lists this long non-coding RNA (484 nucleotides) under Homo sapiens (human). RNAcentral describes it as "HSALNT0014856". The record is from RNAcentral. Lineage: Eukaryota; Metazoa; Chordata; Mammalia; Primates; Hominidae.
UCACCUUCCAGGCUGGGUAUGGAGACCUCUAAAUUCAUCCUAGGGCCACAAGAGCUUCUGUAAGAGUUCAGGCCCGUUUCAGAACACUCAGAGGUUCCUAGCCUGAGAAGUAAUCCCCAAAGCAGACCAACCGGUUUGGGGUAAAACAGGAAGAGUUGGGUCCAUUCUGGAUCUUUCCUAGCUAAAUGCCUUCAGGAUUUAGGAAUAUUUUCCUAGGAGGGCCAAGGAUUAGCUAGACCUGCCCAGCGAUUCCAGCCCUGAGAACCAGACAGAAUGGAGGUAUAGCUGACAGCUGGCUGGGAGGGGGCUGACGGUCCUCACUGCCACCAGGCUUAGUUGGAGACAGAUUCCUCGGGCUGUAGAGAGACAACAGUAGAAGCAAAGAGACCAGUUAGGAGUCUAGGUGAGAGGCAGCGGCAGCCUGGACUAACAUGGUAACAGUGGAGCUAUUGAGAGUGGUCACAUUUGGAAGAUGUUUUGUAGG